Molecule: unclassified non-coding RNA, 386 nt
Filed under: fungal sp.
Lineage: Eukaryota; Fungi
Description: partial internal transcribed spacer region
Rfam family: Eukaryotic small subunit ribosomal RNA (bases 1-46)
Source: RNAcentral
AAGUCGUAACAAGGUUUCCGUAGGUGAACCUGCGGAAGGAUCAUUAACACUUUUGAAAGCAUCCAAUAUCAACUUUUUACAACCAAACGGUCAACUAUCUCCUCCCUAUUUCGCACACCGGAGACGGUACGAGUAGGCUAACAUGUCAAUAAUUAAUUAACAAGCAAAUUGUUUGUUUGUUAGUUGGUUAUUUUCAAACACAAGAUAACCCCUUUUAAUUAUAUUAUUCAUUUAAUAUAAACGAACAACUCUUCGAUUUGCAACUUCUCUUUAAACCAGAAGAAACAAUAACGAACUAAUCUAAAAUAUACAUUCGAUAUAUUUUUAUUUUACGAAAUAAUAUAUAUUUAUAAGAACAACUCUUAGCAAUGGAUAUCUUGGUUCUC